CCAAAAAAAAUCUAAACGCCAUAAUAUGCCCGUGGGAGAUGGAUUGGUGUAGAAUAUGUAGAGUCCACACCAUUAUGGACUCAUCCACAAAUUCAUCACACAAAAGGGGCGUCCCUUCAAAUAUUUGAUGUGGAGUUCCUUCCAAGAGUAGGAUCCUUCAUCUUCUUUCAUGCCAACAUAUCCCAAAGGCCAUCAUAUGGUGCGUGGGAUUAAAAGAAUGCAUGCAAUGAAAGGA
This 235-nucleotide long non-coding RNA is filed under the name Elaeis guineensis (African oil palm). RNAcentral's name for it is "long non-coding RNA (EGUI_LNC063436)". Lineage: Eukaryota; Viridiplantae; Streptophyta; Magnoliopsida; Arecales; Arecaceae. The record is from RNAcentral.